UGCAAGUCGAGCGGAGUGAUGGUGCUUGCACUAUCACUUAGCGGCGGACGGGUGAGUAAUGCUUAGGAAUCUGCCUAUUAGUGGGGGACAACAUUUCGAAAGGAAUGCUAAUACCGCAUACGUCCUACGGGAGAAAGCAGGGGAUCUUCGGACCUUGCGCUAAUAGAUGAGCCUAAGUCGGAUUAGCUAGUUGGUGGGGUAAAGGCCUACCAAGGCGACGAUCUGUAGCGGGUCUGAGAGGAUGAUCCGCCACACUGGGACUGAGACACGGCCCAGACUCCUACGGGAGGCAGCAGUGGGGAAUAUUGGACAAUGGGCGCAAGCCUGAUCCAGCCAUGCCGCGUGUGUGAAGAAGGCCUUAUGGUUGUAAAGCACUUUAAGCGAGGAGGAGGCUACUGAAGUUAAUACCUUUAGAUAGUGGACGUUACUCGCAGAAUAAGCACCGGCUAACUCUGUGCCAGCAGCCGCGGUAAUACAGAGGGUGCAAGCGUUAAUCGGAUUUACUGGGCGUAAAGCGCGCGUAGGCGGCUAAUUAAGUCAAAUGUGAAAUCCCCGAGCUUAACUUGGGAAUUGCAUUCGAUACUGGUUAGCUAGAGUGUGGGAGAGGAUGGUAGAAUUCCAGGUGUAGCGGUGAAAUGCGUAGAGAUCUGGAGGAAUACCGAUGGCGAAGGCAGCCAUCUGGCCUAACACUGACGCUGAGGUGCGAAAGCAUGGGGAGCAAACAGGAUUAGAUACCCUGGUAGUCCAUGCCGUAAACGAUGUCUACUAGCCGUUGGGGCCUUUGAGGCUUUAGUGGCGCAGCUAACGCGAUAAGUAGACCGCCUGGGGAGUACGGUCGCAAGACUAAAACUCAAAUGAAUUGACGGGGGCCCGCACAAGCGGUGGAGCAUGUGGUUUAAUUCGAUGCAACGCGAAGAACCUUACCUGGCCUUGACAUAGUAAGAACUUUCCAGAGAUGGAUUGGUGCCUUCGGGAACUUACAUACAGGUGCUGCAUGGCUGUCGUCAGCUCGUGUCGUGAGAUGUUGGGUUAAGUCCCGCAACGAGCGCAACCCUUUUCCUUAUUUGCCAGCGAGUAAUGUCGGGAACUUUAAGGAUACUGCCAGUGACAAACUGGAAGAAGGCGGGGACGACGUCAAGUCAUCAUGGCCCUUACGGCCAGGGCUACACACGUGCUACAAUGGUCGGUACAAAGGGUUGCUACCUAGCGAUAGGAUGCUAAUCUCAAAAAGCCGAUCGUAGUCCGGAUUGGAGCUCGCAUCCCACCCCAUUAAUG
This 1275-nucleotide ribosomal RNA is filed under the name Acinetobacter calcoaceticus. Its description in RNAcentral is "bacterial SSU rRNA". It matches the Rfam family "Bacterial small subunit ribosomal RNA", at positions 56 to 1325 of the family's 1533-position model. The record is from RNAcentral. Lineage: Bacteria; Pseudomonadati; Pseudomonadota; Gammaproteobacteria; Moraxellales; Moraxellaceae.